Molecule: ribosomal RNA, 783 nt
Filed under: Pseudobacillus badius
Lineage: Bacteria; Bacillati; Bacillota; Bacilli; Caryophanales; Bacillaceae
Description: bacterial SSU rRNA
Rfam family: Bacterial small subunit ribosomal RNA
Source: RNAcentral
AAGUCGAGCGGACUUGACGGAAGCUUGCUUCCGUUCAAGUUAGCGGCGGACGGGUGAGUAACACGUGGGUAACCUGCCUGUAAGACUGGGAUAACUCCGGGAAACCGGGGCUAAUACCGGAUAUUCUUUUUCUUCGCAUGAAGAAGAAUGGAAAGGCGGCUUUUAGCUGUCACUUACAGAUGGACCCGCGGCGCAUUAGCUAGUUGGUGAGGUAACGGCUCACCAAGGCAACGAUGCGUAGCCGACCUGAGAGGGUGAUCGGCCACACUGGGACUGAGACACGGCCCAGACUCCUACGGGAGGCAGCAGUAGGGAAUCUUCCGCAAUGGACGAAAGUCUGACGGAGCAACGCCGCGUGAGUGAAGAAGGUUUUCGGAUCGUAAAGCUCUGUUGUCAGGGAAGAACAAGUACGGAAGUAACUGUCCGUACCUUGACGGUACCUGACCAGAAAGCCACGGCUAACUACGUGCCAGCAGCCGCGGUAAUACGUAGGUGGCAAGCGUUGUCCGGAAUUAUUGGGCGUAAAGCGCGCGCAGGCGGCUUCUUAAGUCUGAUGUGAAAGCCCACGGCUCAACCGUGGAGGGUCAUUGGAAACUGGGAGGCUUGAGUGCAGAAGAGGAGAGCGGAAUUCCACGUGUAGCGGUGAAAUGCGUAGAGAUGUGGAGGAACACCAGUGGCGAAGGCGGCUCUCUGGUCUGUAACUGACGCUGAGGCGCGAAAGCGUGGGGAGCGAACAGGAUUAGAUACCCUGGUAGUCCACGCCGUAGACGAUGAGUGCUAAGU